UACGUAGGGUGCGAGCGUUGUCCGGAAUUAUUGGGCGUAAAGAGCUUGUAGGCGGUUUGUCGCGUCUGCUGUGAAAAUCCGGGGCUCAACCCCGGACUUGCAGUGGGUACGGGCAGACUAGAGUGUGGUAGGGGAGACUGGAAUUCCUGGUGUAGCGGUGAAAUGCGCAGAUAUCAAGAGGAACACCGGUGGCGAAGGCGGGUCUCUGGGCCGUAACUGACGCUGAGGAGCGAAAGCGUGGGGAGCGAACAGG
This 253-nucleotide ribosomal RNA is filed under the name uncultured bacterium. RNAcentral describes it as "partial 16S ribosomal RNA". It matches the Rfam family "Bacterial small subunit ribosomal RNA", at positions 524 to 776 of the family's 1533-position model. The record is from RNAcentral.